This 430-nucleotide ribosomal RNA is filed under the name uncultured marine bacterium 311. RNAcentral describes it as "bacterial SSU rRNA". It matches the Rfam family "Bacterial small subunit ribosomal RNA", at positions 1095 to 1525 of the family's 1533-position model. The record is from RNAcentral.
AGCGCACCCCUAUCCUUAUUUGCCAGCGCAUAAUGGCGGGAACUAUAAGGAGACUGCCGGUCAUAAACCGGAGGAAGGCGGGGACGACGUCAAGUCAUCAUGGCCCUUAUGGGUAGGGCUACACACGUGAUACAAUGGGCGGUACAGAGGGUCGCCAAAGCGCGAGCUGGAGCCAAACCCUUAAAACCAUUCUUAGUCCGGAUUGGAGUCUGCAACUCGACUCCAUGAAGUCGGAAUCGCUAGUAAUCGCGAAUCAGAAUGUCGCGGUGAAUACGUUCUCGGGCCUUGUACACACCGCCCGUCACGUCAUGGAAGUGGGUUGCACCAGAAGUGGCUUGUUUAACCUUCGGGAAAACGGUCACCACGGUGUGAUUCGCAACUGGGACGAAGUCGUAACAAGGUAGCCCUAGGGGAACCUGGGGCUGGAUCA